This 140-nucleotide ribosomal RNA is filed under the name uncultured eukaryote. RNAcentral's name for it is "partial 18S ribosomal RNA". It matches the Rfam family "Eukaryotic small subunit ribosomal RNA", at positions 1299 to 1458 of the family's 1831-position model. The record is from RNAcentral.
UGGUGGAGUGAUUUGUCUGGUUAAUUCCGUUAACGAACGAGACCUCAGCCUGCUAAAUAGUGACUAUUAUCUACCGAUAGUAGAUCGCUUCUUAGAGGGACAUUUCGGGUUUUACCGGAAGGAAGUUUGAGGCAAUAACA